GGAAAGGAAGUGGUUUUACAAGGAAUUGGGGAUUUAGUAUCUCUGUGCAAGUUGUUGCAGUGUUUUGACAGUACUCAGUUGUUGCAGAAGCAGGGCAGGGAUUUUCAAACUCCUUUAUUUUACAUUCAAGAUUCUCAUCCUCAAUACUCUAUAGUGCUAGCAGCCAUGUCUGCAUUCUCAACAUCUUCUGGGGAUUAUUCAGCUGAUUUGCAGUCUUUUUCUAUUGACUAGGUAUCAGUGUAUUUUUGAAGAUCC
Molecule: unclassified non-coding RNA, 255 nt
Filed under: Hevea brasiliensis (rubber tree)
Lineage: Eukaryota; Viridiplantae; Streptophyta; Magnoliopsida; Malpighiales; Euphorbiaceae
Source: RNAcentral